Molecule: long non-coding RNA, 332 nt
Filed under: Homo sapiens (human)
Lineage: Eukaryota; Metazoa; Chordata; Mammalia; Primates; Hominidae
Description: HSALNT0119380
Source: RNAcentral
CCCAGCUGAACGACUUCUUUUAAAGAGGAGGUAGCAUUGUGGGGCGGUACCUGGAACGUCCCCACAGAUGCGUGGAGCUUGAAGAAUCAUUCAAGGGAAUUUUAAGAGAAAAAAAUGCUACAUUUGGGGUUUGUCAAAUGGGAAACGUGAGGGAAUAUGGUGACUGCUGUUGGAAACAUGACUUAGGUAUGCCGCGUUUUAAGGCUGAACAGAGAGGACCAUUCGCUCUGAAACCAACCCUGAAAGAAGGCAAGCAGAGUUAGAAGGGCCGAGAAUUAACGAGGUGAUCUCCUUCAGUGGCCCAGUUGCUGCUGCUGCUUCUUUCUCAAGCU